This 440-nucleotide ribosomal RNA is filed under the name uncultured bacterium. Its description in RNAcentral is "partial 16S ribosomal RNA". It matches the Rfam family "Bacterial small subunit ribosomal RNA", at positions 338 to 795 of the family's 1533-position model. The record is from RNAcentral.
CCUACGGGCGGCAGCAGUGGGGAAUAUUGCACAAUGGGGGAAACCCUGAUGCAGCGACGCCGCGUGAGUGAAGAAGUCUCUCGGUAUGUAAAGCUCUAUCAGCAGGGAAGAAAAUGACGGUACCUGACUACGAAGCCCCGGCUAACUACGUGCCAGCAGCCGCGGUAAGACGUAGGGGGCAAGCGUUAUCCGGAUUUAAUGGGGGUAAAGGGAGCGUAGACGGCGCUGCAAGUCCGGAGGGAAAGCCCAGGGCUUAACCAUGGUACUGCGCUGGAAACGGUGGAGCUUGAGUGCGGGAGGGGCAUGCGGAAUGCCUAGUGUAGCGGUGAAAUGCGUAGAUAUUGGGAGGAACACCGGCGGCGAAGGCGGCCUGCUGGACCGUAACUGACGUUGAGGCUCGAAAGCGUGGGUAGCAAACAGGAUUAGAUACCCUAGUAGUC